Molecule: non-coding RNA, 93 nt
Submitted as: unclassified sequences
Source: Rfam
AUAAUGAUACUUCCGUCCAGUCACAGCCCCUUAAGAAGGGAUCACGCAAUGAGGGCGGCUCGGAGAGAUCCUCGGAGGGGAUAAAUCCCAUGA